CCUACGGUGGGCAGCAGUGAGGAAUAUUGGUCAAUGGACGAGAGUCUGAACCAGCCAAGUAGCGUGAAGGAUGACUGCCCUAUGGGUUGUAAACUUCUUUUAUAAAGGAAUAAAACGAGGCACGUGUGCCUUUUUGCAUGUACUUUAUGAAUAAGGAUCGGCUAACUCCGUGCCAGCAGCCGCGGUAAUACGGAGGAUCCUAGCGUUAUCCGGAUUUAUUGGGUUUAAAGGAAGCGUAGAUGGGUUGUUAAGUCAGUUGUGAAAGUUUGCGGCUCAACCGUAAAAUUGCAAUUGAUACUGGCAGUCUUGAGUACAGUUGAGGUAGGCGGAAUUCGUGGUGUAGCGGUGAAAUGCUGAGAUAUCACGAAGAACCCCGAUUGCGAAGGCAGCUUACUAAACUGUGACUGACAUUGAUGCUCGAAAGUGUGGGUAUCAAACAGGAUUAGAUACCCGGGUAGUC
RNAcentral lists this ribosomal RNA (460 nucleotides) under uncultured bacterium. Its description in RNAcentral is "partial 16S ribosomal RNA". It matches the Rfam family "Bacterial small subunit ribosomal RNA", at positions 338 to 795 of the family's 1533-position model. The record is from RNAcentral.